RNAcentral lists this ribosomal RNA (253 nucleotides) under uncultured bacterium. RNAcentral's name for it is "partial 16S ribosomal RNA". It matches the Rfam family "Bacterial small subunit ribosomal RNA", at positions 524 to 776 of the family's 1533-position model. The record is from RNAcentral.
UACGUAGGGGGCUAGCGUUGUCCGGAAUCAUUGGGCGUAAAGCGCGUGUAGGCGGCUCGGUAAGUCCGCUGUGAAAGUCGGGGGCUCAACCCUCGGAUGCCGGUGGAUACUGUCGGGCUAGAGUACGGAAGAGGCGAGUGGAAUUCCUGGUGUAGCGGUGAAAUGCGCAGAUAUCAGGAGGAACACCAAUUGCGAAGGCAGCUCGCUGGGACGUUACUGACGCUGAGGCGCGAAAGCGUGGGGAGCAAACGGG